AGGCGCAGCUGAUCCUGAUGUCUCACGUGAGUGAUGAAAACUGUAUUUGGUUGUAAAACUCUUUAGAUGAAUUUCAAGACGUCUGCCAGAAGAUUCACAAGAAAAGUCCCGGCUAACCUCGAUGCCAGCAGCCGCGGUAAUACGACGAGGGGCAAGCGUUAUUCGGAAUGAUUGGGCGUAAAGAGCACGUAGACUGAGAUAGGAUUGGCUUAGGAAAAAGUCAAAGCUUGACUUUGAUCUCAUUAAGUGAAAUCCAUCUCUUGAGCUAGGGAAAAGAAGGUGGAAUUUCUAAGGGAGAGGUAAAAUUUGUUGAUCUUAGAAGGAACAUCAAAAGCGAAGGCAGACUUCUUGCUCUAAUCUGACGUUGAGGUGCGAAAGCGUGGGGAUCAAAAGGGAUUAGAUACCCCUGUAGUCCACGCCGUCAACUAUGACCUUGCCUUAUUGGUUCAAUCUUUGAAUCUGUGAGUUAGCUAACGCGAUAAAUGGUCCGACUGAGGAGUACGAUCGCAAGAUUUAACUCAAAGGAAUAAACGGGGGCUCACACAAGUGGUGGAACAUGUGGUCU
This 565-nucleotide ribosomal RNA is filed under the name uncultured bacterium. RNAcentral's name for it is "bacterial SSU rRNA". It matches the Rfam family "Bacterial small subunit ribosomal RNA", at positions 373 to 947 of the family's 1533-position model. The record is from RNAcentral.